This 339-nucleotide ribosomal RNA is filed under the name Salmonella enterica. RNAcentral's name for it is "partial 23S ribosomal RNA". It matches the Rfam family "Bacterial large subunit ribosomal RNA", at positions 1 to 367 of the family's 2925-position model. Lineage: Bacteria; Pseudomonadati; Pseudomonadota; Gammaproteobacteria; Enterobacterales; Enterobacteriaceae. RNAcentral also lists the same sequence under 1 other name. The record is from RNAcentral.
GGGUUGUGAGGUUAAGCGACUAAGCGUACACGGUGGAUGCCCUGGCAGUCAGAGGCGAUGAAGGGCGUGCUAAUCUGCGAUAAGCGCCGGUAAGGUGAUAUGAACCGUUAUAACCGGCGAUACCCGAAUGGGGAAACCCAGUGUGACUCGUCACACUAUCAUUAACUGAAUCCAUAGGUUAAUGAGGCGAACCGGGGGAACUGAAACAUCUAAGUACCCCGAGGAAAAGAAAUCAACCGAGAUUCCCCCAGUAGCGGCGAGCGAACGGGGAGGAGCCCAGAGCCUGAAUCAGCAUGUGUGUUAGUGGAAGCGUCUGGAAAGGCGCGCGAUACAGGGUGA